This 329-nucleotide ribosomal RNA is filed under the name uncultured bacterium. Its description in RNAcentral is "bacterial SSU rRNA". It matches the Rfam family "Bacterial small subunit ribosomal RNA", at positions 28 to 334 of the family's 1533-position model. The record is from RNAcentral.
GACGAACGCUGGCGGCGUGCUUAACACAUGCAAGUCGAACGAGGAACAGGAGCUGCUUGCAGCACCUGGAACCGAGUGGCGGACGGGUGAGUAACACGUGACCAAUCUACCUUCAGGCGGGGGACAACCCGAGGAAACUUGGGCUAAUACCGCGUAACAUUCUUUUGCCGCAUGGCAGCUGAAUCAAAGAUGGCCUCUUUACAAUGCUAUCACCUGAAGAGGAGGUCGCGGCGUAUCAGCUUGUUGGUGAGGUAAUGGCUCACCAAGGCUACGACGCGUAGCGGGUCUGAGAGGACGACCCGUCACAUUGGGACUGAGAUACGGCCCAG